Cynoglossus semilaevis (tongue sole) is the source of this 675-nucleotide long non-coding RNA. RefSeq lists it as uncharacterized. The transcript has 3 exons. The record is from RefSeq and is a predicted model, not a curated record. Lineage: Eukaryota; Metazoa; Chordata; Actinopteri; Pleuronectiformes; Cynoglossidae.
CGGGGACACCAGAAGCCGUAGUCCCUCUGGACAGAAAUGGGAGACUCAGUCGAGUCUGAGCUGGAGAGGAGGUCGACAGGUCGGGGGUAGGACUCAUCGCAGUCUGGGAACCUAAGAGGAGAGGAAACAUGAUGUGGACCUAGAAUUCUCCAGGGGUUUCCCGUUCGUGGACCAUCAAUGUGCUGGGACAAUGUCUGGUACGUCAGGAAGAUCUGCCACGCUCCCGCUUAUCACACGAGGGUAGUACGGUACCAUUAUGGCACGGGAAAAAGUGGAUUCCCAGCCCUGAGGCCGCCGCGCCACUUCAGCUUUGGGGUCAUUGGACGGUCAGUGACAACAUACGGAGGAUGGAUCCACUGAGGUAAAUGCUGUAUUUGUAAAGAAAAGAAAAUGAGUAAUGGCUGCGGUAAACACUUAUUUAUAGUACGUUUAUUUCUAACUGUUUUUUGUUGUAUUGUUGUAAAAAAAUGUAUAAAUCUGGGUACCUCCAACCUCAAAAUACAUUCUCCACGUACUUAAUAUUUUUUUUAAUCUAAACUAAAACAGACAAUGUCAAAUAUAGAAUGGAACAACUAAUCAUCCAAAGAGAGCCAUACUGCAGUGCAUAUUUGUAUUUUUACAAAUUCUCUUAACAUUAACAUUAAACUAAAAAAUGUAAAUAAUAAUUUUUAAAUA